UAUCUGGGUUAGAGGCCCGGGGAGUUUUGGAACUCCCCAAAUUCUGUAUCUGGGUUAGAGGCCCGGGGAGUUUUGGAACUCCCCAAAUUCUGUAACUGGGUUAGAGGCCCGGGGGGUUUUGAAACUCCCCAAAUUCUGUAUCUGGGUUAGAGGCCCGGGGAGUUUUGGAACUCCCCAAAUUCUGUAUCUGGGUUAGAGGCCCGGGGAGUUUUGGAACUCCCCAAAUUCUGUGUAAGAAAACUGGGUUUGAGUCCCAAAAGUGUUGGGUCAGGGACCCGUUCAGCUGGGUUAAAGGCCCGGGGAGUUUUGGAACUCCCCAAAUUCUUUAUAAGAAAACUGGGUUUGAGUCCCAAAAGUGUUGGGUCAGGGACCCGUUAAUCAUUUGUUAAUUAUUCUGAGUCUGGGACUCACAGUAACAUAAGUCAGGUUGAAAUGGACGGGGAGUUUGAGAGAGAACUGUUGAGAGAAGUGUUGAAUUGUUUGUUGUCAUGGAGAAGUCAGGAGAAGAGAAAAUUGUGUUUUAAGAAAAUUAUUGAGUUGUUUGUGAAUGGGAUGAAGGUCAAUGUUUGAGAUGUUGUGUGUGGACACACCAUGGAUACCGCUCCAACGAGGUUGGAGGUCUGAACGGGUGGGGUUGUAAGAAGACCUGUAUGGUAACGUCCUGUGGACCUGGAAGCAGGUGGGGACCAGUAGACUGUGUGUGUGAAUGUGUAUGCGAAAGAGAAAGUGUGUGAGGGAAGAGAAUUCCAGUCUGUUUGUAAGGAAGUGUGUGAAAGGAGACUCAUUGGGAGUGAUGCACAUAGUGGAUAAAUUGACAGUAGAUGAUAGUGAUAUUUGCUCGAGUUCUAGAAAAGGGACGUCUGGAUAGAUUGGAAGAAGGGUUAAUGAAGAAAAUAGCCAGAUAGACAAAGAUUUAGUGGGAGAGGUGCCACGAGAAAGUAUUCAACAGUGGACAAAGGUUUUGGUCAAGUUUUGGGUAAUUAUUUGUGUAAACAUAGUUUUCUUUAAAGUGGUUUAAUUCAAUUGUUUGAAAAUAUUGUAAAGGUGGUCUGUUGGUUAAGUUUGAAUGAGUCCAGUUAAAGGAUAGUGAGAGGAGUCAAAUAGAUAAGACGGCUUUUGGCUGCCGUCCCAGAAAGUAGGGAGUAACUCUAAGCAUCCCAAUCCAGAACACAGAGACACUCUAGGAGAGAGGUGCAAAAGAUGACAGACACACCAAAUGAAAUUCAGGGAAGUAGAUUCCCAAUGUUAAAAUAAAUCAAAAUAGAGCAAAAUCAGGUUCUAUAUUGUAAUAUUAAAAUGGCAAUUGCUUUCCCAUUCCAAUUGGAGAAUUCUGUGUACACGAAAUUGUAUGAAAAAUUGAGCUCAUCUAAAUUAUGAAACACGACAAAGACAUGUCAAAUUAGAAUCAACUGGCCAGUGUUAAAUGUAAAGAAAAUGAGUGCAACAUUUAUGAAACAUUGGUAAAAUAGUAAUUCCCAAUUUAGGACAUUUAUAAGAGAUAGCCAUUAGAUUGGGGUUUAAAAUUGUUGACCAACACAUAACUUUAAAUUCAGUAAGUUAAUGCUAAAACUCUCCAGUCAAGGUUUUAACUUUGUGUUGUGCAAGAUUCCAUCUUUGUUUCUUACAGAGUAGGAGUCCUGAAUCCUGCAACCCUGAUACACCUUGUCCAAUAAAGGGGUACCUCACACAGAUGGCCCAGAUCAUUCUAAGGCCAAACCAAGCCCAGACCUUUGAGAAACUGCCUUGGGUUCAGAAUAAGAAUAUUGGACACUGAUGGUUCCAGCUGCACCACAGUCAAGGAGAGGGUGGAGGAAUGGAGAGACGCAUGCAGAACAAAGAGGCUCCUACAUCCAUGACUGUAACAGCCAGGAGCCACUUGACUGGACAUGGGAAAAUUAAGGAGGAGAAAAGGGAGGAGAGAUAGAACCCCCAGCAUAUGAAGAUGACCUUGUACUCGGUACAGACCGGGCACCAUUAUAUCCAGUGUUAUGUUUAGAGAAGGGGAUAUUGUCUUUAGACACACAGAACAGCAGGCCCAUAACUCAAUUCACAGGAAAGCAAGAUAAGAGAUAAGUUGAGUAGGAAGGCGGAGUCAGAGAGCGAGACAGAUGCUGAGGGGGAGGUGAAACCGUUCAAGGCAAGGGCAGAGAAAGAGGAGCGAGAAGGGGAGACGACUAGGAGAUAAUAGACAGGAUGAGAUUACAGGGGCCAGAAAGAAAAGAUCAGGCCGUACUAAAGGCAGGUUAGGUGAGGACUCAAGGUCGGGGUCGGACGAUAGUGACACAGUGAGUAGGACAAAAACUAGGCAGAAAAAGGGAAAUUCACAUAAAGGACGGGUGUUACUCACGGGGCAAGCAGUAGGGAGAUGGACUGACUCAGACGAAGACCCUGACGCAGACAUUAGUGGAGACGGGAGUAAGGGAGACGUAGAUGUAUACCCUCUGCCGCGUACGCCCCCACCAGAACAUAAACUACACCAUGACGCAGUAGAAUCAAUUCAAAAGACACAAAAUAAAAUGUUUACGCGGUCACAAGCAGGGGAAGCUGGUUGUGCUGGGUUUCAGCUGCCUCUCUUUAGAGUGGGAGGCGGCGAACCGCGAUAUAAACCACUGGGGCUGGGAGACGUACAGGCAUUGGUAGAUAAAUUACCCCCGAUGGGAGAGGGAGGUGGACUAUGGUUGUCACAAUUUGAUAAACUCACAGCUGGUCAAAUGUUGGCACUGGGGGACUGGAGGGCAGCAGCCGCCCGAGUCGUGUCCGCCCAGGCCAUGACUGAGAUAGAAAAAGGGGCCGCCACUAGGCGGAGCCCUGACGACACUCCUUUCAGUCAGGUGGUCGGGCGCAUAGCCACGGCCCUGAGGGAACGAUUUCCCUUGCCCGCUGGGGCCCCGAUGCCCAAGUUACCUUGGGAAAAAGAGCAACACCCUAGACAGUAUCUAGAAGCAUGUAAGGACACAUGGGCCAAACACACAGGGCACCACCCGGGGAAGGGAGGUCUGCAGCAGGAGUGGUUUAGAAGGGCGGUCUUAGAGGGACUUCCAGAGAAAAUAAAAGAGGCAAUGAUGGCAAAUCCUGACUUGCCGGGUAGUGAAUCACACGUAUGGGAAAGACACAUAGUGCAUCAUUUACAGAGGGCAAAAGAUGAGGAGACAGAGAAGGACAAACAGAUACGGGAACUGAGGGAGAACCUGUUGCGCUUACAGCUGGGUGAAGCCAAAGUGAGAUUCAAUGAAGGGAAAAAGAAACACAGACAGAUGGCAGCCCUAGGCUCAGGAGAACCUGACACACCCGAUUUAUACCCUGUUCCCACAUAGGCACCCCAACCUCACAGUGGCCAGGGGGCAUUCACCGCGCCCUAUCGACCAGGGACUCCAAGGGGAGGUUAUGGUAGGGGGAGGGGGCGGGGUAGAGGCAGAGGGGCUCCAGGAGCCCAAGUCCCAUACGGAGCCUGCUUUACGUGUGGUGACCCGAACCACUGGUCCAGAGAGUGCCCACAGAACACUGCAGGGGGCAGAGGAUACCCAAACCAAGGGGCAGCUCCAGUUCCCAACCCACACGCCGUCCCACCACCUAGUGCACCUGGACAAUACCCACUCUCUUAUGAGGGAGGGUGGGACCAGGCGUGACGGUCUACAGGGAGGGGAGGGGACAGCGGGGGAAGGGCAGACCCUAUGCUGUCCCUGAAUGUCGACGGGAAGGACUUCCCCUUUCUGGUUGACACAGGUGCCACGUUUUCCACCAUCACCGCCCCUCCCGUCACAGGACUACUAUCCUCCAAGACAGUGGAAGUUGUGGGGUUUGAAGGAGUGGGACAGACUUUGCCAGUGACAUUUCCUCUUAAAACGAUACUGGGUAAACAGGCCCUCAGCCAUCCGUAUGUGGUGUCGACAAACACACCAGUGAACUUAUUGGGGAGAGACUUGUUGAUAAAACUGGGGGCUAAUAUCUUGUGUUCUCCAGAUGGACUAACUGUCACGUUACCAGACGGGACAUCGACUUCAAGUGGAGGCCGUGGAUCUCCCUCCUCGAGCCGUACUUUCCUCCGCCAGACCCCCCACAUGUAACCCUAUUUUAUGAUCGGCAGGGCGAUGAGGUGUAUAGAGAGGGGUUUGGGGAUGUAGUGUGUGGGGACACGUGGCAGGUCGGGUCUAAAUUCAUAUAUGUAGGCCCUGAAGGGGUAGCGGCAGAUGUACAGUUAACAGAGGAGCAGGAUCAGUGGUACAUGAUGGCGGAGGAGUCCGUCCCGCAUGUGUCACUGGCCCUGCAUCCUAAACACCAAGCAAAAGACCUGGGGCCCAUGGUUAAAAGGGCGGUCAAAUGUACUGAUUGGACACUCACUCAGGCGCCAAACGUAUGGUACUCACACAGCUGUAAGACGUAAAAAUGGUUCACCUGCAUUGACCUGGCUAACGCUUUUUUCUGUCUCCCACUAGCAGAGGAACUUCGUGAUAUUUUUUCUUUCACACAUAGGGGCGACAAUGGCGGCCCCGACGGUGGCCGCCUGCAUCCAAGCUACAAUGACGGUCCUCACCAGACUGGCAGAGAAAGGGUUCAAGGUAUCAAAAGAAAAGCUACAGCUGGUAAGGACGCAGGUCUCCUUUCUGGGCAGAGUAAUCUUGCAGAAAGGAGCGGGGCUUUCCUCAGCUCACCGCACAACCAUCCUCCACCAUCCUAAACCCACUACUGUUCAGGAAAUGCUAUCAUUCCUGGGGCUCCCCAAACUAUUCAGGGCUCACAGAGCCACUUAGAGCGCUAGUUAAGGAGCAGGGAAUGCGUAAACUUAAAGCCACUCUCAAUUGGACUUGCCCGGCCGACCAGGCCUUCAUUUUGCUGAAACAACAACUAGCCACCGCAGCUGAUCUGGCCAUACCAGACUACACAACACCUUUUUUCUAGAUUUUUCUGAAACAGGAUGAGUCAUGAACGGGGUCCUGUUUCAGAAAAAAAGGGGGAGAAGGCUCUGAGAGAGACGAGCUAGUGAGACAUCAAAAGGGGGCUUCCCUACAAGAGAAAACAAUUUGGCAACAGAGAGGAGCAACAGAGACGAGCGGGCUCUGGAGAGGGCCAGACGGUAGAGUAAUACUUCCACCAGCCAUGCGGGGAGAUAAAUUUGCAGAAGCCCACGGGUUGGGCCAUGUAGGGCCAGCACAGAUGUUGAGGAACCAAUUAUGGUAGACAUGGUACGUAACUACACUAGGACAUGCACCAUCUGCACUCACCACAAUCCAAAACCGACGAUCAAACCUGAGAUGGGGGCGUUCCCCAUGACGACGAGACCUGGACAAGAGAUAGUGAUAGACUACACGGACAUGGUAGACUAAACAGUACGGGGGUGCCGCUACAUGUUAGUGUGUGUGGACAUGUUCACAGGGUGGCCAGAAGCCUGGCCAGCACGAAGGGAGGACAGUCAGACAGUGAUCAAGUGUUUAGUGAACCAGUACAUUCCCAGACACGGCUUCCCAGAGAAAAUUAGGUCAGACAAUGGGACUCACUUUAAGAACAGUGAUUUACAGAAGGUAGAGAGCUUAUUGGGCCUAAAACAUGCUUUUGGCACUGUGUACCAUCCACAGUCCCAGGGAAAGGUAGAAAGUGGUCGGACCCAAGGUGGACGGGUCCUCAUCAGGUGGUGGAGAGAACGAGUCAUGCGGUCCGCAUGAGGGACAAAGGAGAGACCUGGUACCAUUGGAGCCAGUGUACACCAGCGCAGGAGCCAGGGAGGUCGCUAACGGACCUCAUCAAAACCGGGAAGGAGGAGCUUUCCCCAGUGUGGACUGAAGGAGGACCAGCACCAGCCGGACCGGUGCCAGGAGCGGACCCCAGGACACGGCGGGACCACGAGCGAGUGAAGGAGACAGAGGACGGCUUCAGGGGACUAGACUCUUAGGGGAAGGAACUGAAGAAUACAAUAACAAAAGGGGGUAUAGGACACCGAGUGGCUACCACUCGUACCAAGAUGAUAGGGUUACAGAGAAAGGUCUGGGGAGAUGAUAGUAGAAUGAAAUGGUAUAUGGGAAUUGGUGGAAUAAUGAUGUGUGUUGUGUGUUGUUACAGGUUUCCCAGGUUGGCAUUGGGUCUUCAUUCCCCCAGCGAAGAGGUUUGCGACCCCACCUGAGGACACCUGUUUGAGGAAAUUUGGGGGAUUGAAUUGGACUAUGUCAAGGGGUCGCAUACGAGCAUUCUGGGAUAGAUAAUCCGCUGGAGGAAUGGAUGACCUCGAUGUUCGGCCAGUGGAAAGAGGGCUUGCCAUGAGAGUGAUCUCUACAGCCAUUGAGGAGGCUCCAGGACCGCCACCAGGGAUGCUGAUGCCUCUACUGGAGCAGCAUGACCCGGGAGAACUGGAGCUUGGCGAAUAGGGGUGAUCUCUCUGGGGAGAGAUCAAAAGGGGGAAUUGUAGAUGUAUUGAUUGUAUUAGUUAGUGAACUGUUAUAAGCUGUUGUAACCAAUGAAGCAGAAUAUUAAUUGUUUGUAAUAUGAGCUGAAACUGAAGGAGCAAGUAGGAGAAUAGGAAACCCUGUUCAAGCGGUUGCCGGGGAGAGAAAGAUUUAGUAUGUCUGUUUUGUGAGAAACAGGACACAGGUUAGAGACACACACACAUAGUCGGACAGACAACACAGACACCACAAGGGGGGCAAGGGGGGUACUUGCAGUUAUCCUAUAAGGAAUAGAACUGGGAUUGGGCCAAGGACACACUUGCUUUGUAAGUUAACGCCUCUAUCUUUUUGGGCGUAGUAGAAGUAUAAAAUGAUGUUUUGACUGUUGAUCCUUAGACAUUGUGCG
This is a long non-coding RNA of Esox lucius (northern pike), 6777 nucleotides long. NCBI's taxonomy places the organism in Eukaryota, Metazoa, Chordata, Actinopteri, Esociformes, Esocidae. The record is from Ensembl.